Molecule: ribosomal RNA, 259 nt
Filed under: uncultured bacterium
Lineage: Bacteria
Description: partial 16S ribosomal RNA
Rfam family: Bacterial small subunit ribosomal RNA
Source: RNAcentral
GUCCACGCCGUAACGAUGGAUGCUAGCCGUUGGCAGGCUUGCCUGUCAGUGGCGCAGCUAACGCAUUAAGCAUCCCGCCUGGGAGUACGGUCGCAAGAUUAAACUCAAAGGAAUUGACGGGGCCCGCACAAGCGGUGAGCAUGUGGUUCAAUUCGAAGCAACGCGCAGAACCUUACCAGCUUUUGACAUGGCAGGACGGUUUCCAGAGAUGGACUCCUUCCCUUCGGGGACCUGCACACAGGUGCUGCAUGGCUGUCGU